CCACGCCGUAAACGAUGAGUGCUAAGUGUUAGGGGGUUUCCGCCCCUUAGUGCUGCAGCUAACGCAUUAAGCACUCCGCCUGGGGAGUACGGUCGCAAGACUGAAACUCAAAGGAAUUGACGGGGACCCGCACAAGCGGUGGAGCAUGUGGUUUAAUUCGACGCAACGCGAAGAACCUUACCAGGGCUUGACAUGACAGUGACGGGUUAAGAGAUUAACCGUUCCCUUCGGGGACACUGCCACAGGUGGUGCAUGGUUGU
RNAcentral lists this ribosomal RNA (260 nucleotides) under uncultured bacterium. Its description in RNAcentral is "partial 16S ribosomal RNA". It matches the Rfam family "Bacterial small subunit ribosomal RNA", at positions 795 to 1052 of the family's 1533-position model. The record is from RNAcentral.